Molecule: transfer RNA, 74 nt
Filed under: Bacteroidales bacterium
Lineage: Bacteria; Pseudomonadati; Bacteroidota; Bacteroidia; Bacteroidales
Description: tRNA-Pro
Rfam family: tRNA
About the family: Transfer RNA (tRNA) molecules are approximately 80 nucleotides in length. Their secondary structure includes four short double-helical elements and three loops (D, anti-codon, and T loops).
Source: RNAcentral
CGGGGUGUGGCGCAGUUGGCUAGCGUACUAGUAUGGGGUACUAGUGGUCGGAAGUUCGAGUCUUCUCACCCCGA